UAAUAUUUUAAUUUUUAAAAUUUUUCUAAAUUAUGAAUAAUUUUGAAUCCACUGUUUAAUAUUUUAAAUUUAAAUAUUUUAAUUUAUUUUUUAAAUUUAUUUAAUAUGAAACGGUCAACGAUACUUUAACUUUAAAAUUUAAGUUAAUUACUUAUUUUAUUGAAUCAAUAGUUGUGAGAAUUACAUAAAAUAUACUGUCUAAAUCUGUAAAGAUAAAUGAUGCAUUUAAAUUUUACAGUCAGAGUAUUAUUAACUGAAUCAAAUCAAACAAAUUGAAAUAUUAGAUAGUAAUAUGAAAAAUUUAAAAGGUUGGAUAGGGAACUCAAAAUGGUUUAUAGUUAGGUAAGUUUUGUAUAUUUUAAUCAUAAUUUAUUAUAAUUUUUAGCCUGAAUUUGUCAAAAUGUUGUAAUCAGGUCUUACAGUGUAAUUUAAUUGACUAAAUACUAAUAGAUUGCUGGUGUGAUAAUGAUACAACAACAUUAGAAUUAACAACAUAAGAAUAAUUAAGAUGCCACACUAUCAGUACAUCAGUGACAUAUUAUUAUUUAACCAAUAAAAUUGCAUGGUGAGACGAUUGCAACACGAUCGAAAGUUCAAAUCAAAAAUUACAACAAAUUAAAAUUUGAAAACUAAAACGUCAGAUGACUUAUAGUUUGAGG
Molecule: long non-coding RNA, 659 nt
Filed under: Ananas comosus (pineapple)
Lineage: Eukaryota; Viridiplantae; Streptophyta; Magnoliopsida; Poales; Bromeliaceae
Description: long non-coding RNA (ACOM_LNC010880)
Source: RNAcentral